This 279-nucleotide unclassified non-coding RNA is filed under the name plant metagenome. RNAcentral's name for it is "partial contains small subunit ribosomal RNA, internal transcribed spacer 1, and 5.8S ribosomal RNA". The record is from RNAcentral.
UCUCCGUAGGUGAACCAGCGGAGGGAUCAUUACAGGACUCGCAAGACUCCUACAAUCCUGUGAACUUAACUAUAAGCACGUUGCUCCGGCGGGUGUCUCGGAGGUGGAUCUCGCUUCCCGAGACGCUAAACCCGCCGGCCGCCUACCAUACUCUGACACUCUAUGUUUGCAACUCGCGUACUAUCAAACAAGUUAAAUCAUACAACAACGAACCGCUCGGUUCUGGCACCGAUGAAGAACGCACCCGACCGGAAGAGAACGCCGACUGCACAACAGUAA